AUUUUAUCAUCAUUGUUUACAAGCUGGCAGCUCUGUGGUGGACACCAGGUGGCGACGGCUCUGCGCUGGUGGACACCAGGUGGCAGCGGCUCUGCGCUGGUGGACACCAGGUGGCGGCGGCUCUGCUACAGGCACCAGGCAGCGACAGCUCUGCAGUGGUGGGCACCAGGUGGCAGCGGCUCUGCACUGGUGGACACCAGGUGGCGGUGGCUCUGCGACAGGCACCAGGUGGCAACAGCUCUGCGGUGGUGGACACCAGGUGGCGACAACUCUGCGGUGGUGGACACCAGGCGGCGACGACUCUGCAGUGAUGGGCACCAGGUGGCGACGGUUUAGGCUACUUUGUGGCGGCGGCGGCGGCGGUGUGGGCUGCUCUGUGGGGUUGAGGUCCGUCGGUGAAUCACAGAAUCUGCGCUCUCCUGCAGGGUGUGCCCUGAAAACUGGCGACGUGCACGAAAAAAAAGACAAAAGGAC
Molecule: long non-coding RNA, 474 nt
Organism: Priapulus caudatus
Lineage: Eukaryota; Metazoa; Priapulida; Priapulimorpha; Priapulimorphida; Priapulidae
Exons: 2
Source: RefSeq, a predicted model, not a curated record